AAACAAAUUUACGCGAAUAUGUCAUCUCGAGUCGUCCUCGAUCCCCCCGUCUCCCCCUGCUCCAUGCCCAUCCGCCGCCGGCCCCUGCACCAUUCGCCGCCGCCCCCUCCUCCAUCCCGCGACAGAUCGACGUCGUCGUCCUUCCCCAUCUGUCUGCGCCCGCGGGCGCCGUCGGUUCCGUCGUCCAAUCCCGCGAAUCCCGCCCAGGCGGCGGCUGCCGCCGCCGUGCCGCCGCUCAUCCGCACCCGGGCGGGCGUCGACUUGCCGACGUGCCGGUCUCCAUCCCUGCCGUGAGCCUCCCCAGGAGUCCCUGUCGAUGGCCGUCGCCGCACGCCCAGCGCAGCCCAUCCCCGUCCCCGGCUGCUCGACCGGCGGGCCGAUCAUGCGGGCGUGGCGACAUGGCCCGUCCCCGUCCCCGGCCGCGGCCGCGCACGCCCCGGCGUUGGCAACGGCAGCAUCUACGACCCCGCCGAUCCGCCGCCUGUCCGCGGCCAAGCGGCCGUCCACGUCGAGUCGUCGCUGCUCCCUCUCAUCGGUGGGCUCGCCUACAUCUGCUGGUAAUUUCUUCCCCUCGGGCCUGAGGGUAGAUUGCAAUCUUUGACUUGAGGAACCAAUCUUAAAAUUUUACUAAAAUGAAGGUUGGGAAUGGAGAGAGGAGCUGCUCAUGAGUUGCGAGUGGUGACUGCAGAUACGGUCCUCGGGUUCUGAUGCCCCCACUAGCACGGUCGCCCUUGCCUCCGUUAGUUAAUCUUGCAACUGGUGGAAGGAGUACCUCGGUUCUCCAUGCUGUGGUGUAGAUUAGGUACUCCGUGGUAGGUUGUCUAGGUUAUUAGUUCUACUUUUAAAGCUUGAUUUUGUUUAGGUGCUCACUUUUCUGAAGUUGGUUCAAAUCAGCUCUCAGCUUUUGUACACUGACCCAAUUAGAUGUCUCGUUAGGCUGUUGAUUAAGUGAACUUUGCUUAUGCAUUAUGAUUUCAGUUUGUUUUAGAACAAUACUACUACAUGUGUUUGAAAUACUGAAGGAUCAAACAGAUGACUAAUAGGAUUGUGACAAAGGAGCACGCGAUAUUCUAUUUGCCCUAGAAUUUGAUGUAGCGAUGUAACUGAAUGUGUUACUCUUCAUUAAUUUUAACAACCUGUAGGUACUGCUGAAAUGGACAAUUCAUUUAUGCCUUCACAGGCCUGUUUAGGCAUUCGCACAGUUCUAGUUUAUUCAUCUGCACGGUGAUAUAACUGAAUAUAUGCAUUGGAAGAGGAUAACCAAUUUUGCUAACUACCACAAGAAUUUUAUAAACUUAUAAAGCCCAAAAAGUCUUCAGACUUGUGAAUCUGUCCAACCAUUGGUAUUAUAUAAGUACAAAGCUGUUUAUUUUACUCGAAUUACUGGAUGAUUGGUAUGACUAUCAUGUGGGGCCGCACCUAUACUAAAAAAAGGCGCUCCCGGGAUGUCCGCAGGGCCGCAGACGGCGCGCCAGCUGAGCUGUAGGCGCGGUCACCACGCUUGCAGAGCGCGCUGAAUUGGCAAGUGCCUAGAAGGAAGCAGAGCUGAUCAUGGCCUUAGAUUUAGGAGCAAUUGGCUCCAAGCUGUUAGGGCCAAGUAGCCUGUAUAUGUUUGUAAUCAGGAUGAUGAAAGGCAAGCAAGAACAAUUAUCCUAUUCCCUAAUCUUCCUUUGGCUAAAUCAAUCGGGCGCUGAGGGGUAAAACCUCGUCCCUAACCACGGAUCACGGCUACGAACUACGUAGCCGGGGUCCUCCUGCCCUGUCCCUCGACGCCCUUGACAAACCUCGCCCCUAACCACGGAUUGUGGCUACGAACUACGUAGCCGAGGUCCUCCUGCCGUGUCCCUCGACGCCCUUGACAAUGGCAUUCUUAAGCUCUGCACACAUCGACAGUUGUGUGGACUUGUGGACAACAAAAAUAGAUAAUGGCAACAGUUACAAGAGUUGAUGGAGCUUAUGUUAUAUAUUAUGUCAAAUUUGUUUGAGAUUAGAGAUUACAAAGCUACUUCCUAAUUGAUUUUGGACUUCUCUGGAGGCUGCAGCUAGGUGCUUGAUGUCCUCGAAGGGAAGUGGAGGAGCUUAUCAUCGAUUUGGUGGCCAGUUGGUUAUAAUUUGAUACAGCAGCUUAGGAUCAUAGUCUUUGUAAUGUAACAGUGCAAAAUUGUCUUUGGCAAGUAGUUCAGAAGGCUCAUUUUAUUGUAUUUAUUUUAAUAUAAUUUAUUAUUGUUGUAAUCAAUCAAUACAAAUUCGUAAUGUGUAAAUUACUUUGCUCACUUUGGGUGAUUCUCUGUGACAUGCCUGGUCUCCGACCAGCGCUUCAGCAGUUGCAGUUCAGCUUAUUAGCCUGG
Molecule: long non-coding RNA, 2348 nt
Filed under: Panicum hallii
Lineage: Eukaryota; Viridiplantae; Streptophyta; Magnoliopsida; Poales; Poaceae
Description: long non-coding RNA (PHAL_LNC000090)
Source: RNAcentral